UGUUUUUGCUACAUCUCUCUGCUAGGUACGUAGCUCAGCUCGUCCUAUAUAAACGGCCAUAGGUAAACCUGCAGAAAAUUCAGAUUAACCCAAACAUCUGUGACAAAUCAGUUAAGUAGCUUAAUUAGUUAGCAAGGAUCAUCGGAGGAUCGGCGAUGGCGGCGGUGCUUAGGGCCACCGGUGGCCGGCGGCUGGCGGCGGUGCUCGUCCUGAUGCUAUUCGUCUUGGCGGCGGCGCUGCUGGAGGCGCCGGUGAUGGCCUCCGCCGCGAGGGUGUUGCUUCAAAGUGGACUGCUUCCGACUCCGUAUCCGACCUGCAAUCCAGGCCAAUAUUCAUGCCCACCGCCUACUACUGUGCCAUGAUUAUAAGCUGUACGCCGUUGGUUAUUAGUUUACUUUUAACCAACCAACAGCAUAUAAUGAAAUAGUUAUCGUUCCUACAGAGUUUCUUCUCUACAACUUAAGAUAUAUUUCAAAUAAAAUAUUUAUUUGCAUGUGAUGUUUGAGAGCCAUGCAAAUAUGUAAUACCUCGAUCUGCGUGUACUACAGCCUGGCCUACGACCAGUGGAAGCUGCAGUGUGAGGCAAUAAUGUUUUUAUAUAUUUCCAUGCAUGUAUUAAUUGCGCUUCCAUAUAUCAUACUAUAUACAAAAGGAAAUUUU
RNAcentral lists this long non-coding RNA (660 nucleotides) under Oryza sativa Indica Group (long-grained rice). RNAcentral's name for it is "lncRNA OsPr106_12g0006950". The record is from RNAcentral. Lineage: Eukaryota; Viridiplantae; Streptophyta; Magnoliopsida; Poales; Poaceae.